This 2713-nucleotide long non-coding RNA is filed under the name Anas platyrhynchos platyrhynchos (common mallard). Its description in RNAcentral is "lncRNA (ENSAPLG00000027729.1)". Lineage: Eukaryota; Metazoa; Chordata; Aves; Anseriformes; Anatidae. The record is from RNAcentral.
UUCAAUAAGGAAGGAAAAAACCUUGCUGGGAUGGGAAGGCUUCCUUGGGGUAGAAAGCCAUUGGGCUCAGAAAUGAAAGAGAUGGGAAAUGUUCUCUGGGUUUGAAAGCAUUGGGAAGCAAAAGCAUUGGGAUGGGCAAUCGCUCCUGGGAUGGGAAAGUACUGGGACGGGAAAUCUUGAAUGGGGUGGGUAACAUUUAUUGAAGUAGGAAAACCAUGAGAAAGUCAUCCAAGAGAGGGGAAUUCUUUGGGACGAGAUCUCUUUGGAUGAACAAACGCUUUGUGUUGAUGGGAAAUCUUUUGUAUGGGAAUCUGUUAUCAUGUGAACUUGUCAGGAUGGGAAAUGACCAUGAGGAUGAAAGCUGGUACUGGGGUGGGAAAUGCUUAGGACGGGGAAGAGGCGGUGUGGAAGCGUCGUGGGCAUGGCAAGUGCUGCGUGGGAGGGCAAGCCUGCUGGGGAUGGCCAAGUCUUGUGCUGGGCAGCCUGCUUGGGUCCAAAGCCUGCAGUCCUCCCCAAGAUGUUGUCGAGGGGCUGGUCAGCCGUUGGGACGGAACCCCCGUUGCCCGGGUUCCCCAAGCAACCGCCCCACUCUCCAGCCACCAUGGCAGGUCCAGCAGCCGGCUCCCGCUCCUCCCAGGGCUGCGGCCGUGCUGGCGAGCCCAGUGCCCCAGAGCUCAGCCCAGCGCCCUUUUUCCCACAGAGGGUUUCCCCAGACGGCUUCUGCGGGUUGCGCAGACGCAAAACUCCUCCUUCGUCGUCGCAGCCGUGCCGUCAACGGUGGCUGCCUGGCUGCUGCCCUCCCUCCCCGGAGCGACGGCGGUGCCCUUGCAGCCCCCGCAUGUACCCACCCUCCCCUCCGCGCUGCCCCAGGCCACUGUCUGGCACGUGGUGCUGGGGGUCCAGGGGCAGGUGCUGCAGCUCCCCGCCGGGGUGCAGCUGCCACCUGGGGGCACAUCCCAGCCGAGGGCCACCACCUGCAGCUUAGGCAGCUCCCCGCCGUGGGGCAAAACCUGCAGCUGGUGCAGCUCCCAACAAUGGGGCACCAGCUGCAGCUGGUGCAGCUCCCCGCCGUGGGGCAGCUCCCCCACACCGCUCCUCCCUGUGCCCCCGUCCAUCAGUGGGGACAGCCCAUGGUGACAGGGACACUGGUGCCCCACCAUGCGCUGGGGCUGGGGCCCAGGGCCGUGCUCCAUGGGGAGCUCCUGCACCCCGCAGGCACCUGCCUGUUGCAGGCCCCCGCCCAGCGCAACCCCCCGCCACCCCUCGUCCCGGGACCUCCGCUGCAGAGGCAGGUGCUCCCCAUGCCCCGCACCCUGAGCAGCAGCCUUGGGCAGCUGCCAGAGCCCUGCUUGCACGCCGUAAGGCUCAGCGAGGACCAGGGGCCCCCGCUGCCCGGCCCCACUCCCCCUGAGCCUGCCCAGGCUCCAAGGACUGCCAGCACCCAGACGGCGACACCCGACGCGGUGACAGCCCCGCAGGUGCCUGAGGAGCCCCCGCAGCUGCCCGAGCUGGGCCCUGAUGCCUUGGCCGAGGCCUUUCCAGAGCUGGCAGGGGACAGCCAGCAGCUGCAGCACAUGCAGGACGAGCUCCUGGCCGACCUGGACAUCCCCAUCCCCGGCAUGGAGGAGCUGCUCAGCUGGCUCGAUGCCGUGGAGCCCCAGGACGCCUUCGCCGAUUUGCCCAGCAGUCCUGCCCUCAGCCGCUUCCACUCCCAGCUGCCUGACCUCUGCGAGGACAUUGAGCAGCCGAGCACGCAGGGACUGGAAGCCACAGGAGCCCUCGGUGAGGUCCCCUCAACCCCUGGGGUGCGCCCCGAGAAGCUUGAGGGUGGGCUGUCGCUGCAGUCCCCCUUCAUGACAGCAGUGAGCCCCCCGCUCAGCCCUGCAGCCAGUCCCCUGUUCAGUGCGCUUAGGAGCCCCCUACCCAGUCCACCCCUGAGUCCCCCCAGGAGCCUCCCUGACACCCAGGUCCUCAGUGCCCUUAGUAGACCCCUGCCCCAACCCCCCCAGCAUUCUCUCAAGACCUGCCCCAACACCAAGGUCCCCAGUGCCCUUAGUAGACCCCAGCCCAAAUCCCCCCCGAGCUCCCCCAAGAAACGCCCAAACCCCAAGGGCCGCAGUGACCAUAGGAGACCCCUGCCCAAAUGCCCCCUGGGUCCCCUCAAGAGCCCCCUGGCUGCCCCUGCGUCCACCGGCACCAAGCGGGGGGCCAAGCGCCCUGCACCCAGCAGCACCCCUGGGACAGCGCAGAGCUGCCAGCACAGGAGGCCGACGAUAGAGAACCCCCCCGGCAAGGAGAGGAAGAUGCUGCUGGGCCAGGCUGGCCAAGGCCGCAAGAGACCGUACCAGGGGAAGACGGGUGGCAGCAGCACGGUGGCUGGCAGCAGCAGGGAAGCAGGCAGCAGCGGGCAGCAGCCGGCGACCAACAGCACCACGGCACCCAGCAAGAGAGCGCGAAGCCCAGGGGCUGCAGGGGAGCAAGGAGCAGCGUCACCACCUCCCCGCAGAGCGCGGCUGCUGCCGGAGACUCCGAGUGGGGAGCCCCAUGCCGUACGGCCCCAGGACAGGCUCUGUCCCCAGGCCAUCGGGGCCAAGAUGCUGCAGCGCCAGCAGCCGGGGACAAAGACCCCCAGCGAGACUUUGCAGCCGCUGGGGGCCAGGGCCAAGGCGCUGGGGCCAGUGCACCAGCCGUCCUGUGUGCAGCCGCAGCCCAC